This 468-nucleotide ribosomal RNA is filed under the name uncultured bacterium. Its description in RNAcentral is "partial 16S ribosomal RNA". It matches the Rfam family "Bacterial small subunit ribosomal RNA", at positions 28 to 507 of the family's 1533-position model. The record is from RNAcentral.
GACGAACGCUGGCGGCGUGCUUAACACAUGCAAGUCGAACGGAAAGGCCAUGCUCUUGUGGGGUGGUUGAGUGGCGCACGGGUGAGUAAAACGCGUGUAACAUGUCCCUGACUUUGGGAUAACUUUAGGAAAAAGGGGAUCUUAUCGGAUAGGAGAUCUUGAUGCACGGUGGGGGUUGGUAAGUUUCGGCUGUUGGGGAUGGACUAGAGGGUUAUCAGCUUGUUGGUGGGGUAGUGGAGUACCAAGGCUGUGAAGGGUAGCCGGCAUGAGAGGGUGACCGGCCACAUUGCUACUGAGGGACGGCCCAGUCGCCUACGGUACGCAGCAGUGGGGAAUAUUGCACAGUGGGCGGAAGCCUGAUGCAGCAACGCCGCGUGCGUGAUGACGGCCUACGGGUUGUAAACCGCUUUCGCCGGUGACGAAGCGUGAGUGACGGUAAUUGGUAAAAAAGCACCGGCUAACUACGUG